GUGCAGAGAUCUGAAAGCAGUGAUCACCACAAGCUUAGAAACUAGAGUACAAAUCUAUUCCCUAGCCUUAAUGAAUUUUAUUUUCUGAAAAAGUAUACUAUCAGAGCACAAGCAAAUAGAUACCACCUUCAUAAAGUAUGAAUUAAAAAUUUAGAUUUUAGAACUGGAUAAAGAUAUUAAUCUCCCUUAUGAGAAACAAUAUGAUUAGAAAAGAUGAACAGUAAGAAGAAUCAGAAGUGAAAAUAAACUGUGCCUUUUCAUGGGUGAAAGUCAGAAAACAGCCAAGUACUGUGGAUAUAUAUUCACAUGCAUAUAUAUGAAUGUAUGUUUAUCACCCACACCUAUGUUUGCACAUAAGGUUUAUAGAAUAUGCUCAGGCAAUUACAUAAGGUAGAUAACUUUGUUAAUGGGUAUCUGAUAUAUAUUAGUACAAUUUUUGAUUGGUAAUAAUAAAGGAUAGUUCCCUGAUGGAGAUAUUUUUCUGUCCCUUCAGUUUAAUUUAUGAAGAUAUACCUAUCCUCAGUGUUCCUCAGACCUUCUCUGAAAAAUUGUGCUGGAACACAGAUAAGACAGCUUCCUGGCCAAACCACAGGAUGAUCAAUAUUGUCUUUAAAAAGCAUUCUUCAACAGCAAACAGUUUGCAUAAAUGAAAGUUAAGGACACAAGGAACCGAACUGAUUUGAUUUUUUUUGAGAUUUCUUUUUGAUGCUUAAAAUAAAACUUAAUUGGUAUUCUACA
RNAcentral lists this long non-coding RNA (738 nucleotides) under Numida meleagris (helmeted guineafowl). RNAcentral's name for it is "lncRNA (ENSNMEG00000002297.1)". Lineage: Eukaryota; Metazoa; Chordata; Aves; Galliformes; Numididae. The record is from RNAcentral.